RNAcentral lists this ribosomal RNA (467 nucleotides) under uncultured bacterium. Its description in RNAcentral is "partial 16S ribosomal RNA". It matches the Rfam family "Bacterial small subunit ribosomal RNA", at positions 29 to 507 of the family's 1533-position model. The record is from RNAcentral.
ACGAACGCUGGCGGCGUGCUUAACACAUGCAAGUCGAACGGAAAGGCCCUGCUUCUGUGGGGUGCUCGAGUGGCGAACGGGUGAGUAACACGUGAGUAACCUGCCCUUGACUUUGGGAUAACUUCAGGAAACUGGGGCUAAUACCGGAUAGGAGCUCCUGCUGCAUGGUGGGGGUUGGAAAGUUUCGGCGGUUGGGGAUGGACUCGCGGCUUAUCAGCUUGUUGGUGGGGUAGUGGCUUACCAAGGCUUUGACGGGUAGCCGGCCUGAGAGGGUGACCGGCCACAUUGGGACUGAGAUACGGCCCAGACUCCUACGGGAGGCAGCAGUGGGGAAUAUUGCACAAUGUGCGGAAGCCUGAUGCAGCAACGCCGCGUGCGGGAUGACGGCCUUCGGGUUGUAAACCGCUUUCGCCUGUGACGAAGCGUGAGUGACGGUAAUGGGUAAAGAAGCACCGGCUAACUACGUG